AGAGUUUGAUCCUGGCUCAGAGUGAACGCUGGCGGCGUGCUUAACACAUGCAAGUCGAACGGUAACAGAACUAGCUUGCUAGUUGCUGACGAGUGGCGCACGGGUGAGUAAUAUAUAGUUAAUGUGCCUCGAAGACCGGGAUAGCCAUUGGAAACGAUGAUUAAUACUGGAUAUACCUUCUCUACCUAAGUAGAGUUGGGAAACGUUUUUCGCUUCGAGAUCAGACUAUAUCCCAUCAGCUUGUUGGUAGUGUAAGAGACUACCAAGGCUAUGACGGGUAGCGGGUUUGAGAGGAUGAUCCGCCACACUGGUACUGAGACACGGACCAGACUCCUACGGGAGGCAGCAGUGAGGAAUAUUGCACAAUGGGGGAAACCCUGAUGCAGCAACGCCGCGUGGAGGAUGACGCAUUUCGGUGUGUAAACUCCUUUUAUAUACCAAGAUAAUGACGGUAGUAUAUGAAUAAGCACCGGCUAACUCCGUGCCAGCAGCCGCGGUAAUACGGAGGGUGCAAGCGUUACUCGGAAUCACUGGGCGUAAAGGCCGCGCAGGCGGCCUUUUAAGUUGGAUGUGAAAGCCUACGGCUCAACCGUAGAACCGCAUCCAAAACUAUCAGGCUAGAGUAUGGGAGAGGCAGAUGGAAGUAGGGGUUUAGGGGUAAAAUCCGUAGAGAGCACUAGGAAUACCAAAAGCGAAGGCAAUCUUCUGGAACAUUACUGACGCUGAGGCGCGAAAGCGUGGGGAGCAAACAGGAUUAGAUACCCUGGUAGUCCACGCCCUAAACGAUGAAUGUUAGUCGUCGGGUAGCUAGUCUAUUCGGUGAUGCAGCUAACGCAUUAAACAUUCCGCCUGGGGAGUACGGUCGCAAGAUUAAAACUCAAAGGAAUAGACGGGGACCCGCACAAGUGGUGGAGCAUGUGGUUUAAUUCGAAAAUACGCGAAGAACCUUACCUAGCCUUGACAUAUUUUAGAAUCCUCCAGAGAUGGAAGAGUGCCUUCGGGAGCUAAUUUACAGGUGCUGCACGGCUGUCGUCAGCUCGUGUCGUGAGAUGUUGGGUUAAGUCCCGCAACGAGCGCAACCCUCGCUAAUAGUUAAUAACGAUUCGGUCGAUGACUCUAUUAGGACUGCCUUCGCAAGAAGGAGGAAGGUGAGGACGACGUCAAGUCAUCAUGGCCCUUACGGCUAGGGCAACACACGUGCUACAAUGGGCAGGACAAUGAGAAGCAAUACCGCGAGGUGGAGCAAAUCUAUAAACCUGUUCUCAGUUCGGAUUGUAGUCUGCAACUCGACUACAUGAAGCUGGAAUCACUAGUAAUCGUAGAUCAGCUAUGCUACGGUGAAUACGUUCCCGGGUCUUGUACUCACCGCCCGUCACACCAUGGGAGUUGAUUUCACCCGAAGCGGGGAAGCUAAACUGGCUACCCUCCACGGUGGAAUUAGCGACUGGGGUGAAGUCGUAACAAGGUAACC
Molecule: ribosomal RNA, 1471 nt
Filed under: uncultured prokaryote
Description: partial 16S ribosomal RNA
Rfam family: Bacterial small subunit ribosomal RNA
Source: RNAcentral